This 73-nucleotide transfer RNA is filed under the name Agathobacter rectalis. RNAcentral's name for it is "[Eubacterium] rectale tRNA-Val". It matches the Rfam family "tRNA". From Rfam's summary of the family: Transfer RNA (tRNA) molecules are approximately 80 nucleotides in length. Their secondary structure includes four short double-helical elements and three loops (D, anti-codon, and T loops). Lineage: Bacteria; Bacillati; Bacillota; Clostridia; Lachnospirales; Lachnospiraceae. The record is from RNAcentral.
GGGAUCUUAGCGCAGCUGGGAGAGCAUCUGCCUUACAAGCAGAGGGUCACAGGUUCGAGCCCUGUAGGUCCCA